GUGAGUCAUCGAAUCUUUGAACGCACAUUGCNCCCGCUAGCAUUCUGGCGGGCAUGCUUGUUCGAGCGUCCUCAAAUAACCCUCGGGCCCGGGAGACUUAGGUCUCUUUGCGGCCCGGUGUUGGGAAGCCGCGGCUGCCGCGGCCCCCUAAAACCAGCGGCGGACCCCUCCGUGGCCCUGGCGUAGUAAUAAACCUCGUCUUCGGCUGUCGGUUGGGCCCUGCCCCUAGAACCAUCUCUCAAAUUUGGACCUCGAAUCAAGUAGGAAUACCCGCUGAACUUAAGCAUAUCAAUAAGCGGA
Molecule: unclassified non-coding RNA, 300 nt
Filed under: uncultured fungus
Lineage: Eukaryota; Fungi
Description: sequence contains 5.8S rRNA gene, ITS2
Rfam family: 5.8S ribosomal RNA (bases 1-71)
Source: RNAcentral